RNAcentral lists this unclassified non-coding RNA (224 nucleotides) under Hevea brasiliensis (rubber tree). Lineage: Eukaryota; Viridiplantae; Streptophyta; Magnoliopsida; Malpighiales; Euphorbiaceae. The record is from RNAcentral.
UAAGGGGAAAAGAAAGAAAAAGAAAAUUGCAUUCUUAGUGUUGAGGGAGUCAAUUGCCAGUACACAAAGGCAAACACAUGCAUGAUAAACUUCAUUUUUCAUCGUAAUUAAACAUAAACUCUAUCAAUCAAUCAAACAGCAAAAACAGGAACAACAGAACACACUUUAACGCCAAUAAAUCACAUAAGAGAAGAUUAAAGAUUAAACAAUAUAAAGAGACAAAG